This 453-nucleotide ribosomal RNA is filed under the name uncultured Porphyromonadaceae bacterium. RNAcentral describes it as "partial 16S ribosomal RNA". It matches the Rfam family "Bacterial small subunit ribosomal RNA", at positions 341 to 792 of the family's 1533-position model. Lineage: Bacteria; Pseudomonadati; Bacteroidota; Bacteroidia; Bacteroidales; Porphyromonadaceae. The record is from RNAcentral.
ACGGGAGGCGGCAGUGAGGAAUAUUGGUCAAUGGGCGGAAGCCUGAACCAGCCAAGUCGCGUGAAGGAUGAAGGUAUUAUGUAUUGUAAACUUCUUUAGACGUAGAGAAAUAAGUGCCUCGUGAGGCAUGAUGCUAGUAUACGUAGACUAAGGAUCGGCUAACUCCGUGCCAGCAGCCGCGGUAAUACGGAGGAUCCGAGCGUUAUCCGGAUUUAUUGGGUUUAAAGGGUGCGCAGGCGGCGUAUUAAGUCAGCGGUUAAAUAGUGAGGCUCAACCUUAUCCCGCCGUUGAUACUGGUAUGCUUGAUUGCGGUUGAGGUUGGCGGAAUUCGCCGUGUAGCGGUGAAAUGCAUAGAUAUGGCGAAGAACUCCGAUUGCAUAGGCAGCUGACCAAGCCGAUAAUGACGCUCAUGCACGAAAGUGCGGGGAUCGAACAGGAUUAGAUACCCUGGUA